CGGACAAUGGAACUUAAUCCUAACUACAUUAAUGAACCCAAAAAUCCCAUUAAGGCAUUCAGCAUUAAUAACUAUAAAAAAAAAGACAAAACACACAGAAAUAUAAAGAUAGAAUAAUAAAAGGAUUUCCACACAAAUAAAACGGAGGCAAGAAGUAUGAUAAA
Long non-coding RNA from Drosophila simulans, 164 nucleotides. RefSeq lists it as uncharacterized. The record is from RefSeq and is a predicted model, not a curated record. NCBI's taxonomy places the organism in Eukaryota, Metazoa, Arthropoda, Insecta, Diptera, Drosophilidae. The transcript has 2 exons.